RNAcentral lists this long non-coding RNA (1022 nucleotides) under Heterocephalus glaber (naked mole-rat). RNAcentral's name for it is "lncRNA (ENSHGLG00000047092.1)". The record is from RNAcentral. Lineage: Eukaryota; Metazoa; Chordata; Mammalia; Rodentia; Bathyergidae.
UGUUGAGGUUGGUGCUUGUGAUGAUUUCAGGGUAAUCUAGUAACCAUGAUUAUUGGUGUCUACAGUGGCAAUGAGUUCUUUUGGGAUCUCGUGGUGACUGCUGAUGGUAUUCUCCUGAUCUCUUUUUCUUUUACAGAAAUAUUUGCGACUGAGUAAGAGGACGUUGCAGCCUGGCAGCAGAUAUCGCCAGCCCAUGGGGACAAGCGACCAGGAAGCCGCUCCCUCCCAGAUGGGCCGCCAUGGCUAACUGGGACCUCCAGCACCAACAAGAAAAAUCCCAAUGCUACAGAAGGAUCCAAGUUCGGGAUGUUCAUCUGCUGUGGGGACUGCAGGCAAUGGAAAGUCUGGUCAUCAACAGUUCCAUUCUCUUCAGUGUCAACAAAGGUCUGGGUUGUGUGAGGAUCCAAGAAGAUGAGCUCAUCACCUAAGAAUCCUAUGACAUAAUGGGUGUUAUUUGGUUUUCCUCCUGAUGCCCCUAAAGACUGUGGGAUCUUAAAACACUCUUUGAAUGCAUCAACAUACACAGGAUCGAUUUGGUGUAUGCCCAAGCAAAGGGGCACAAUGAGGAGCAGGGGUUUCUAGGCUGGGCAGAAGGCAGAGGUGCCUUUACUCUGGUUCAAAGUGAUAAAAGAACCAGGGGCUUUCGUCAGCUGCGUCAGCAUGAAAGGGAAGGACUCGGCACAUUUUCUUGAUAUCCUCAAUGACCACUGUGUUAUCCAUUGAAACAUAAACAGCCAAGGAAUUCCAUUCAUCAAAUAAAGCAAGUUUUUUUAAUACCUGUGCAACUGUAUUUGGUCCAAACCAUUCGCCAACUGAUUUCCCCUCUCCUACACCCAUUUGUGCCAUUUGAUGGAUAGAAUAGCAACAGUCUUUUCUAUCUAAGAAUCACUGUAGGAUCCGUUGGUAUUCUUUGGGUUGUUCUUUUUGUUUCUCCCAGUUUCAGUCCCUUCCCAAGUGUCUACAGAUAAAGGCUUGAGCCAGCAUCAUCUGUCCACAACGCAGUAUACAUCCCCAGCCCGCGU